This 198-nucleotide ribosomal RNA is filed under the name uncultured Bifidobacterium sp. Its description in RNAcentral is "partial 16S ribosomal RNA". It matches the Rfam family "Bacterial small subunit ribosomal RNA", at positions 265 to 442 of the family's 1533-position model. Lineage: Bacteria; Bacillati; Actinomycetota; Actinomycetes; Bifidobacteriales; Bifidobacteriaceae. The record is from RNAcentral.
GCUCUAGAACUAGUGGAUCCCCCGGGCUGCAGCCCAAUGUGGAAUUCGCCCUUCGCCCGCCGGGCGCGGCGGGCGGGGCGGGGGCACGGGGGGCCUACGGGAGGCAGCAGUGGGGAAUAUUGCACAAUGGGCGCAAGCCUGAUGCAGCGACGCCGCGUGAGGGAUGGAGGCCUUCGGGUUGUAAACCUCUUUUAUCGU